CCUACGGGUGGCUGCAGUGAGGAAUAUUGGUCAAUGGGCGUAAGCCUGAACCAGCCAAGUCGCGUGAGGGAUGAAGGUUCUAUGGAUCGUAAACCUCUUUUAUAAGGGAAUAAAGUGCGGGACGUGUCCCGUUUUGUAUGUACCUUAUGAAUAAGGAUCGGCUAACUCCGUGCCAGCAGCCGCGGUAAUACGGAGGAUCCGAGCGUUAUCCGGAUUUAUUGGGUUUAAAGGGUGCGUAGGCUGUGAGGUAAGUCAGCGGUGAAAUGCCCCCGGUCAACGGGGUGAAGUGCCAUUGAUACUGCCUGGCUGGAAUGCGGAUGCCGUGGGAGGAAUGGGUGGUGUAGCGGUGAAAUGCGUAGAUAUCACACAGAACACCGAUUGCGAAGGCAGCUUACUAAACUGUGACUGACAUUGAUGCUCGAAAGUGUGGGUAUCAAACAGGAUUAGAUACCCCAGUAGUC
RNAcentral lists this ribosomal RNA (461 nucleotides) under uncultured bacterium. Its description in RNAcentral is "partial 16S ribosomal RNA". It matches the Rfam family "Bacterial small subunit ribosomal RNA", at positions 338 to 795 of the family's 1533-position model. The record is from RNAcentral.